GACGAACGCUGGCGGCGUGCCUAAUACAUGCAAGUCGAGCGCAGGAAACUGACGGAACUCUUCGGAGGGAAGGCAGUGGAAUGAGCGGCGGACGGGUGAGUAACACGUAAGGAACCUGCCUCAAGGAUUGGGAUAACUCCGAGAAAUCGGAGCUAAUACCGGAUAGUUCAACGGACCGCAUGGUCCGCUGAUGAAAGGCGCUCCGGCGUCACCUUGAGAUGGCCUUGCGGUGCAUUAGCUAGUUGGUGGGGUAACGGCCCACCAAGGCGACGGUGCAUAGCCGACCUGAGAGGGUGAUCGGCCACACUGGGACGGAGACACGGCCCAGACUCCUACGGGAGGCAGCAGUAGGGAAUCUUCCACAAUGGACGAAAGUCUGAUGGAGCAACGCCGCGUGAGUGAUGAAGGCUCUCGGAUCGUAAAACUCUGUUGUAAGGGAAGAACACGUACGAGAGGGAAUGCUCGUACCUUGACGGUACCUUACGAGAAAGCCACGGCUAACUACGUGCCAGCCGCCGCAGUAA
Molecule: ribosomal RNA, 524 nt
Filed under: uncultured bacterium
Lineage: Bacteria
Description: partial 16S ribosomal RNA
Rfam family: Bacterial small subunit ribosomal RNA
Source: RNAcentral